AGUGAACGCUGGCGGCGUGCUUAACACAUGCAAGUCGAACGAGAACGGGUUAUAGCUUGCUAUAAUUGUCAGCUAAGUGGCGCACGGGUGAGUAAUGUAUAGGUAAUAUGCCUCUUACUAAGGGAUAACAAAUGGAAACGUUUGCUAAUACCUUAUACUCCUUAUUAACAGAAGUUAAUAAGGGAAAGAUUUAUUGGUAAGAGAUUAGCCUGUAUUGUAUCAGUUAGUUGGUGGGGUAAUGGCUUACCAAGACUAUGACACAUAACUGGUUUGAGAGGACGAUCAGUCACACUGGAACUGAGACACGGUCCAGACUCCUACGGGAGGCAGCAGUGGGGAAUAUUGCACAAUGGACGAAAGGCUGAUGCAGCAACGCCGCGUGGAGGAUGACACAUUUCGGUGCGUAAACUCCUUUUAUAUGAGAAGAUAAUGACGGUAUUAUAUGAAUAAGCACCGGCUAACUCCGUGCCAGCCGCCGCCGUAA
Molecule: ribosomal RNA, 484 nt
Filed under: uncultured bacterium
Lineage: Bacteria
Description: partial 16S ribosomal RNA
Rfam family: Bacterial small subunit ribosomal RNA
Source: RNAcentral